Molecule: unclassified non-coding RNA, 224 nt
Filed under: Hevea brasiliensis (rubber tree)
Lineage: Eukaryota; Viridiplantae; Streptophyta; Magnoliopsida; Malpighiales; Euphorbiaceae
Source: RNAcentral
UAGCAAGGAGAAGGAAGCAAAGAUAAGCAAAGAGGUGGUGGCAAAGAGUAGCAAGGAAUAUGAGGCAAAGAUUAGCAAGGAAGCUGACAAUGGUUCGAGUUCUGUUGAUAACAAGGUGCAGAUUACUAAAGAGGAGGUUGAAGAGGGUGAAUUGGGAACUUUAAAAUGGCCACCGAAAGCAGAAGUUGAGAACGGAGAGAUUGUUCCACCAGAGAAGGCGAGGA